This 249-nucleotide ribosomal RNA is filed under the name Triticum aestivum (bread wheat). RNAcentral describes it as "partial small subunit ribosomal RNA". Lineage: Eukaryota; Viridiplantae; Streptophyta; Magnoliopsida; Poales; Poaceae. The record is from RNAcentral.
AUGGAGUCGCCAAAAAAGUUGCGCCCGCUCAUCAUCAUGGCGAUGCUACUGCUGCUCGUGAUGGCUGCGGAAGGCCAUAAACAUUGUCCGGAGGACUUGUGUGAAGGACCAAGUGGCAAGUUCAAAGGUGCAUGUUCGCAGGACGACGAAUGCCAAGAAACAUGUGGGGAAGAGGGUUUUCACACUGGCUUUUGUAAAGUUGGGCCUUUUAAUGGUGCAUGUAAAUGUUGUAAGCCAUGUGUUUUUUAA